GACGAACGCUGGCGGCGUGCUUAACACAUGCAAGUCGAACGGCAAGGCCCUGCUUGUGUGGGGUUAUCGAGUGGCGAACGGGGGAGUAACACGUGAGUAACCUGCCCUUGACUUUGGUGUAACUUCAGGAAACUGGAGUUAAUACCAGAUAGGAUCUCCUGUUGCGUUGUGGGGGUUGGAAAUUUUCGGCUGGUGGGGAUGGACUCGCGGCUGAUCAGCUAGUUGGUGGGCGAGUUGCUUGCCAAGCCAUUGAAGGAUACCCGGCCUGAGAGGGUGACCGGCGACAUUGGGACUGAGAUAGGCACCAGACUCCUACGGGAGGCAGCAGGGGGGAAUAUUGCCCAAUGGGCGCAAGUCUGAUGAAGAAACGCCGGGGGUGGGAUGACGGCCUUCGGGUUGUAAACAGCUUUCGCCUGUGACGACGCGUGAGUGACGGUAAUGGGUAAAGAAGCACCGGCUAACUACGUG
This 468-nucleotide ribosomal RNA is filed under the name uncultured bacterium. Its description in RNAcentral is "partial 16S ribosomal RNA". It matches the Rfam family "Bacterial small subunit ribosomal RNA", at positions 28 to 507 of the family's 1533-position model. The record is from RNAcentral.